UACGUAGGGUGCGAGCGUUAAUCGGAAUUACUGGGCGUAAAGCGUGCGCAGGCGGUUCGUCGUGUCCGAUGUGAAAGCCCCGGGCUCAACCUGGGAAUGGCAUUGGAAACUGGCGGACUCGAGUGUGGCAGAGGGGGGUGGAAUUCCGCGUGUAGCAGUGAAAUGCGUAGAGAUCCGGAAGAACACCGGUGGCGAAGGCGGCCUGCUGGGCUAUGGCUGACACUGAGGCGCGACAGCGUGGGGAGCAAACAGG
This 253-nucleotide ribosomal RNA is filed under the name uncultured bacterium. Its description in RNAcentral is "partial 16S ribosomal RNA". It matches the Rfam family "Bacterial small subunit ribosomal RNA", at positions 524 to 776 of the family's 1533-position model. The record is from RNAcentral.